Vombatus ursinus (common wombat) is the source of this 8013-nucleotide long non-coding RNA. RefSeq lists it as uncharacterized. Lineage: Eukaryota; Metazoa; Chordata; Mammalia; Diprotodontia; Vombatidae. The record is from RefSeq and is a predicted model, not a curated record. The transcript is spliced from 3 exons.
GGAGGAGAAAGUGAGGCUGGUGAUCUUGCACAGCCUUCCCUCACUCAAAUCAAAGCCAACUGCAAGUCAUGUCGUCGUCUCCCUGAUGUCUUGGUCUUCUUUGAGAAUGAAGGACAAACCAUACAACCACAACAUGCUGCUGCUGAAAGAGAUUGGGAAAUCAUAAAGUGGAAAGAGGAGAAUCUGGAUCUGUGUGGAGUGCCUGGCACAAGUGAUAGCAUGCCCAUGUUGUAGAUGAGGAGCCACAUGUGGCCUGAAGGUCGAAGAUCCCCCACCCCUGGUCUUGCCCAUGGGCACCUACGAGCCUGGAGCUGAACCCAGGGCUCUUGUCUUCAAAUCCAUCUCAUUUCCCCGCAGGUCCCACUGUGACUUGCUCCCCCUCCUCCCAUCCCCCUCAUCUGCACAUUCCUUUUUGGCCUUACCCAUGUCCAGGUGCCGCCCGCUUCAGUUCCUCAGGACACAUCUGGGGCACAGAGUAACUGGGAGAGGACACAAGACACAGACACAGCACCAUGCUCCCCCAAUAAAAUGGAGGGUGGGGGGCAGGAGGCCCGAGGGCAGGCAGGGAUGUUUUUUGUGACUCCAGAGCUGGGUAAGGAUUAAGUGACUAGACGGUGAGGCCCCUGCCUUUGUAGAUACUCCAGAAAUAGGGUAGGAGGGGGUGGGAGGUUGGACUCACGAACCUUGAAGCACCCCAUAACUAGGAUGUUUCUUGGUUCUUGUGUGCCUAAUAGACACGUAGAACAGAUGUGUCCCGCAGAUGCUUAGCAUGGUUCGCUAGCGCUUUUGUAGGGGGUUAUAAACCCUUCACAUGCCUUCCUCACCCUAUCUCCCAUUUCCCGGGGCAGAAGUCCCUCUGGUGGACUGGCCAAGUCCUGAGACUCAGAGGUGAGACAGUGAGUGAGCCAGGCCCCCGGUCAUCUCGAGGGGCAGCUCACGGCCCUGGAAGUGAAGCAAUGUACUGUCUGGGCCAACACCAUUGGCAGCUGGGGGCACCCGAAUUUGAAUGUGCCACCUCAGGUUUCAGGCCCAGUGAGCGUGGUUUGAAUACAGACUCGGGCCUGGGGUCCGAAUCCGGCUGUGCUAUCAUGUCCAAGUCACGAGUCCUCUGAGUCACUGUUUCUCCACCCGACAAGUGGGGAUGAUUCCUUUUCACAUUUCUAUAACACUUUAUAGUUUUCCAAAUGUUUUCUUCCCAAGUGACCAAGGGAACUAAUACAAGUUAUGUCCAUUUUGCAGAUGAGAAAAAUGAGAAUCGCAUGUGAAGUGAUUUGGCUGCAGACCUGUGGGAAAGAGCUAAAAAUUGAACACAGGCCUACUGACUACAGUUCUUGGGUCCUAGAGAGGCCAAACUGGCUGUCCAACCUGUAUCUGAGCUGCGCGCUCGUGUGUAUGUGUGUGUGUGUGUAUGUGUGCGUGCGUGCACUCAGGCUCGCAUUUAUGGAGGGGUGAAUCCAGCUGCUUCUUUCUAGCCAUUAAUUAUGGGAUCAUACUAACAUGUACUUAUCCAAGGUUGGGGACCCAGGACCACUCUGCUCGCUAAAGACUUCCUGCGAAAUCCAGCCUGUCCCUGACUCCCAGGCUCCAUCUGACCAUUGUUCCGCUUCACUUUGGGCACAGCACCAGUGGCCACAGCUGCAGCCUGGAGAGCUGGUCACUUCUGUGGGGAAGAGGAGGGGAUAGGCAUCCUCUGCUUUGCAUGCUUCUGAAAAAGCUUUCGUCCUGCCGUCUCUCUGUAGCUUCCUGCAGGCUUAGUGGUGGUGGGUGGGUGAGCCCAAGGCCUCUGAACCCACUGAGGUCUCCAGAAGGGCAGUGUCGAUGGGGAAGAGGCCAGAGUGCUGGGGAAGGCAGAGGAGCUGACCUCAAUUAUGCUCACCACCGAUGACCCCCUGCCCGUUGAGUAGGGCAGUGACCAUCUGACGUGGUAACAGACACAAAAUUAAUCCAAGGCACAAGGCCAUCACACCGAGAAGGAUCUGGGUGACCUGUGAACAGAAGCAGACACCUGCUAAGCAGAUGUGGGGCCUUGGUUGGCACCUGUUUUCCUAGGCAUUGCACCCGUUAUCCUUUGGUACCUCAGGAACGUCCAAUCUCUGUCCCUCUGUAAAGGCGGAAGGAGCAAGUCUUUGGUUUUCUCCCCUCCAUCAGAGUGACCUCUGAGCGAAGGGGAGGACAGAACUCUAACCCUGACUGCCCUGGGGAUCCCAGCUCUCCUUCCAGGAUCGCAGCGCGCCUCAUAUACAGCUUCAUGGAUUUCAGAGUUAGAAGGGACUUUAGAGAGCGCCGUUUCCCUGCCGAGAAUCGCUCUCCCCGUUUUGCUUUCUCCUUUGCUUUAGUUUCACCUCAUAGCUCACCCAGUAGGGUUUUGGGGGUCAGGAUGCACAUCUCUGGCUCAGCCCUCAGACAGGCUCCUUACCAGCUCCCUGAGAAGGGCCCAUGGGCAGUUACUCUGCCAGCCCGUCCCUCUGUUGCCCUCUGCCGGAAACACCACCUUCUACCGUUGGUCCCUGCAGCCCCAGUUAACUUGAUUGGAUCCCAGGAGCCCAAUGAUCCAAUUUCCCUCCGUAUCUGGCUUGUAUGAGAGCUGAGUGUGGCCUACAAUCCAGGUUCUUCUGAGGCUGGACACAUACAUACAUACGUAUACGAAACUCCAGUAUUUGAUGCAUGAAAGCUUCCAGUGAAUGUGGAGGGCAAAGGAGGGCUGGUUGGAUGUGUGUAGGGGAAGAGAGAGAGGUAGAGUGGUGCAUAGCAUAAGCAGGCUGUGGUGGAUUACCAAUGAUGACUUGAGCCUUGUAAGAAGAAGGUAUGUAUAGUAUACACUUCAAAGUGUAAAAGAUGUCACCUGUGGGCAUGGAUGGUUGGAAAAGGAGUGAGGAAAAAACCACGUGCCCCUUGAUAGGAGCAGAGCAAGAGCUACCCUGGCACUUCUGAGGAGAACUUUGGGAGAGGCCUUCAGUAGGUUGAGUUGAUUCCCCCAUCCUUGCACCCCAAGAUGUAUGGGAGGCCAUGCACAAGAAUCACAAAGGAUGCAUGAUCUGGAGGAGCUACAGUUUACACCUUUAAAAAGAAAGUCCCUAUUUAAAUGAGAUGAAAUCAUGGACAGGUAAGGAAAGAUACACACACACACACACACACACACACACACAAGCAGCCAGGUGACACAGUGGUUAGAGUGAUAGUCUUGGAGUCAGGAAAGUACCUGUUCAAUCCUCUGUGCUACCCCUCCUGGCUGUGUGAUCCUGCGUGAAUGUGCCCUAGGCCACCCUCUCAGACUCUUCAGUUAGAAUCAAUAUCAAUCAGUGAUCAAUAAAAGUAAGAGCCUACUGUGUGCCAGGCUCUGUGCUAAGGGCUGAGCACAACAAAGAAGGUGGUAGAGGGAAUUUCCUCACUGAAAAGCCCUCUACCAAUAAAAUCAUUGUCCAACCAAGAGACCUUCUGAACCAUCUCCAACCUCCUCACUUGAUAAAUGAGGCAACAGAACCUGCCCAUUCAUAUCCUUCCUGUUAGGUCAGGGCCAGGAUUAGAACUCAGGUUUUUUGGUAUAGUGCCCUCAUUCUACAAAGUUACUCCCAUUAGGUCAUCAUGGGUUCUUAACCUUUUUUUUUUCUAUCAUGAGCCCCUUUGCCAGUUUGGUAAAAUCCCCAGCCCCCAAUCAGAAUGUGGUUUUCAAUUGUAUAAAAUUUAUGGAAUUACCUUGAUCAGGCUACUUUCUGAAAGUUCAUCAAGUCCAGAUUACAAAUUCCUAGGAGGAGGAUAACAAGGUCUGAAUGCAAAUUGAAGAGCGGUGUUGAAAUCCUGUUUCUGCAGCUGCGUGAGCUGGGGCAGAUCAUUUUGCGCACUGGACCCCAGUGUACUUCUGUAUAAAGGAAGAGGCUUGAACCAGGUGAUCUCCAAGGACCCUUCUAGCUCAAAGCUUAUGAUGACCCCAAGAAAACACUUACUGGAUCAUAGAUUUAGAGCUCAAAGGGAUGUUAAAAUCAUUUUGUCCAAUACCCUCGUUUUAUACUUGAGGAAAAUGAAGGCCAAAGUAUUUAAGUGACUUCCUUAAGGCUACAGAGAGGUUGAAAGAGAAAGGAUUAAGACUCCAUGGAUUCCAUUGAGACUUUUCCCAAGGACUAUGGGUUCCCCCUUCAGGAAUUUCUUCAGAGGGGCUUCAGGUUGAGGGGGGGAUGCCAGCAUCCCAGGCUCUUGGAAUGUGGUACCCCCACCACUGAGGACCCAUUGUAAAGAUGCUGUUAGAUGGCUCUUUGACAACCGUCUCAUUGGACACGGUUCUAAAACAGAAAGACUGUGCAUGAUGGGAUUAGUCACAGUGGCAAGGUCCUGUAGGAAUCUUGCAUGCCAGCUGUCCUUUGCAACCAAAGCCCAUCUUUCUGAGGGAGUCUGCUGCCUCCAUGGGUGUGCAAGUAUACCUGAGAAUAUGGUGUGACCCUGCUCUUCAUGUACCAGUGUCCCUCUGCGAAUGGGACUUCCUGGAAUGGCAGGGCAGUUGGGUCAUAGGUCCUAAAAUCACCGAGUUGAAAGAGAUCUCAAAGGCCAUCCAGCUUACCCAUCUCUGAGCAAGAAUCCCCUCUGGAGAUUCCUGAGGGAAAUGAUGAAGGUAGUGUAGCAGAGCCCAGAGAGAGGGCUGGUCUCAGAACAAAAAGACCUUGGACACAUUCAGACCAACCUCCUGGCAAAAAUUGAAACCCAUCUAAUGGCACAACCCCAUGUCACCAUCGAAAGACUAAAUGUACUAAGUCCUGCUGAGUUUUUAGAGACUAUCCCUAGACUUGAAACAAAUUAGCCUGUGAACGAUGGUGAGUAUAACCUUGCCUUGACUGUGUUACCAUCCUAGACUCCCUGCUGACUCCAAAGGUCGCGCUCCAAGAGACACUCAUCCCAGAUGCCGACCUCGUGGUUUUCACAGAUGGCUGCUGCCUAAGGAACCCGGAGGGAAAAGUAUGGCAUCACCAUGGUAACAGGUAUAGGAGUUGGCCCCCUCCCCAUGCACAUUCUGCAUACCAGGCAGCGCUAGAAGCAGUGUCAAGGGCAUGUGAGUUGGGAAAGGGGCUGAAGAUUAACAUCUACACAGACAUCAGGUAUGCCUUUGGGGUUGCCCAUGAUUUUGGAAUGUUAUAGAAGCAACAAGGAUGCUUAACUUCUACCGAACAGCCCAUAAAAAACAGUAAUCAAGUCUCUGGGUUACUAGAAUGUCUACUGCUCCCCAUGCAGGUGGCCAUUGUCAAAACUGCUGGCCACUCUUGUGAAUCCACUCCUGAGGCCCGAGGGAAUCAACUGGCUAAGGAGGCAGCUCUCACAACUCUGUUCCUGUAAUGGUUUCCUAUACCUCCCCCACGGCACUCCCACCUAUUGAUCUGGUAGCUUUAACAGAGGCUCCAGAAAUAGCAUGCCAAUGGGAACGACAAGGGUGCACCUGAGCCUCUGAAGCAGGGCUUUGGAAACAUGGACAGGAGGUUGUCCUCCCUGGCCAGCUACACCGGUCGCUGCUAAGCCACCUGCAUGAUCAGUGCCACUGGACAAACUUUAUGAACUUUCUUCCCAGCACUGAUGGGGAAUAUCUAAACAGUGGCUGAAGAAGUGGUGUCCAGAUGUCAGUCUUGUCCCCUGUACACCCCAUCCAAGCCCCUGAAGUCUCCCUGAGGCUGCUUCCUGCUCCCCUCCUUGCCCUCUGAGAUCUGGCAGAUAGAUUUCAUCCAGCUGUCUCUGGCCGAGAGUAUACAUUAGCCCUUGUUAUGGCCUGUGUGUUUUCCAGUGGGGUGGAGAUCUUCCUGUGUCAGCCAGCCACCUUGGGGGUAGUAGGAAAGGCCCUCUGUGAACACAUCAUCCCUUAUCGGGGGGGUAGCACAGGAGGUUCAUAAUGAUCAGAGAACCCAUUUUACGGGGUAGAGGCUCAGAGCAAUCCCGGUGGCCUGGGGAAUCUGCUAGCACCUACAUUGUGCUUACCAUCCCUAGUCCUCAGGAUUGGUGGACAGAACUAACAGAAUAUUGAAGGGACUACUAGGAAAAUUGACCUCCGAUUUCCAAGCACCAUGGGUCAAGGUACUAUCCAUUCCUCUCCUUGCCCUCUGGUCAUGGCCUGUGGGCAAGACCAAACUUUCCCUGUACUGGGUCGUCACCGGGAGGCCCAUGCCCUUCACCUGGCCAGUCUCUCCCCACUUGCUUCACAUUAUCUUCAGGAAUACUGCAUUAGGCUUAGUCAGCAAAUUCACCAGCUUCAAGACCUUAUCUCUCAGGCUCAUUUCCUAGGUUCUCUUGUGGCCAGCUCCCCUGGUGAUUGGGUGUGUUGAAGUGUCACCAGCGGUGGAAGGGACCCUUCCAGGUACUGCCCACAACCUCUGCUGCCGCCACGUUCCAAGGAAUAGACUCCGGGAUCCAUCUGUCACAACUAAAGAUUGUCCCCGCUCUUAAGUGGGCGUCUGAGCUCGUAGGAGACCUUGCCCCCUGGUUCUGCAGGGGCCUGAAGCGGACAACAUCUGAUGCAGACAGCUUCCCCAAGAGUCUGGACGGGCCUGCAUGGAGAAGAGCUACCUCCCCACCCGAGCCCCUUACAUACUUAAGACUGGUUACCUCUAUCUUUUGGUAGCUUUUCCUUGUUUUUACUUAGCUGAUCUGUACUCCCAUUCUGCCCCUCACUCCCCCCACCUUGGUAACCCCUUGUGGCCUGCUCUUCUGCAUGCUUGCAAUUGCCUUGCAGUGGCUGCCCAUCUCUGCAGACACCGUCAUGGGGGGAAGGGCAGCUCCUCCUCCCAUCCCCCACUGACCCCCUGCAGAAGCUGGGCUAGGAGGCAGUCAGGCUGGUUAACCUGUCCAGCUGCUGGUGUAAUUGACUGUCCAGGGGGCGCCUCAGUACAAUCUAUUUCUGGCCUUGUUGGGGAUCCGUUCGUUUAGUAGCCCAGGUGAGGGUCUAAGAUUCUCUGAGACAGGAAGCUCCAAAGAACCAAUCCUGUUUCAAGACGCAGGUGAACCUGUCUGCUAAGGAGUCUGACGUUCUCCUUGGUGCACGCCCGGAUGUGAACAGCUCUCAGGGCCCUGUCUUUUCCAGGUAUGUCCAGGGUAUUUCUGUCUGGCCUCAGAAGGAUCACAUAGCACUUGGGAGCGAAGAUGCAAGUCAGAAUCCCAGCACUGGAGGCCAAGAUGGAGAAGACCUCCACAGCCACCAUGGCCUUGCCCUUGGUGCUCUGAUACAUGGGCAGGAAGGAUAUCCAGACACUGCAGAACACAAGCAUACUGGAUGUCAGGAACUUGGCUUCAUUGAAAGUGUCUGGCAGAUUCCUGGCCAAGAAAGCCAAGGUGAAGCUCCCCAAGGCCAGUAAGGCCAUGUAGCCCAGGACACAGUAGAAGAUAAGGAUGGAGCCCUCAUUACACUGAAUGACGAUGAAGCUAGGCUCAGCGUGUGCAUCCAUCUCUAGGAAUGGGGGAUAGGUCCCAAGCCAGAUGCCACAGAGACACAUUUGGAUUAGAGUACAGAUCAAAAUGAGAGAAUAAGAUGCUGUGGAGCCCAUCCACCUCCUGAGCUUGCUGCCUGGCUUUGUGGCCUUGAAGGCCAGAACCACAGUGAUGGUUUUAGCUAAAAUGGAGGCAACGGCCACUGUAAACACAACUGAAAAUGUGCUUUGUCACAGGAGACAAGUGGCGGUGUUAGGACGGCCAAUGAAGAGCAAGGGGCAGAGGAAGCAGAGGGUGAGGGAGCCCAGAAGAGUGUAGCUGAGACUGCGGUUAUUGGCUUUGACUAUGGGAGUGUCUCUGUGCUUCACAAAGACUCCAAGGACCAGAGCAGUGAGGAGGGAGAAGCAGAGAGCUGCACAGGCCAGGGUCAUUCCAAGAGGUUCUUCAUAAGCCAAGAAGGUCACAGUCUUGGGGAGGCAUCGAUGUCUCUCACUGCUUGGGUACUGAUCUUCAGGGCACUGCAGACAUUGCUCUGCAUCUGUGAACAAACAAAAAAUAACUUCACUGUAUCCCAUUUAGACUGUAGUUUUCUAUCUCCAAUAAAGCACAGUUUUAGUCAUUCCA